UUAAGAAAAAAAAGUUAUCACCGUUUCGAGUUCACACAAAUAUUCAUAGGGCACUGAAAAAGAGUUGGCUGGUUCGAUAUGUAUGUGGAUGUAUGCUUAAAGCGUCCUUCAGUUGAAUUUCCAGGAUCCGAUCAUCCAAAUAUCUGUUCUUGAUACCAAGCCAUAAUUCAGUGCACCCUGUUUUGAAUGAACAUCGAGUGGGCAAAAAAAGAAAUUUGUCCGUAUUUAUCGGAGAUAAGCUAUGCAGCUAAGCCGAACGGGAAUGCCGAUUUUUUUAUUUCAAAAAAGUGGACAAAAACAUGCUUUUCGCAAGAAUUAAAGACGCUUCGGGAUCAGAUAUUGCGCAUUUUGAGGCAUCUGAGAACAGGUGGUGCUAGUCAACCAGCGACGGCUGGAUUUUGUGGCAGAAAAUGAUGAGGACCUUUUUUUAGGACGAAAGAGGAUCAGAUAUGGUUUUGUUGCGCAGCAAGUAGAAGCAGCCUUUUUGUCGAGAAAGUUCGCAUAUUAGGUAGGUACUUUGACGAGUCAGAUCAGGUGUAGUUUUCUUCUCUCUUGUACAGGUUUAUAGCCUGAUGAGGGUUGAUGCGGUCUUUGGUAUGCAGACACUAUUUCUAUAGGAUGGAGAAAGGACAGGUAAUAUAGAAACGAGAGGAUGACAUUAUUUUGGCACAUGUAGCGUGGCAUUAGCAUUAUACAUUUCUAGGAGGAUAACGUUUUGCACAUCUAUCCUGAUUCGUCCGCGAUAUUUUUUGUUUGAUUGAUCCAGUUGAUAAAAAAUUGCAUGCUUUCUGGUUUGGGAUUUGCGGUGGUCUUUUGACAAGCUUGAUAGUCAGUAGGUGGUGGCUCUGGGUAAGAUUCAGCACAAUCUGUAUGUGUUUGACAACUGGUUGGAUGCUCUAUAGAUUUUGGCGACAUCUGGGUGUACUUAGGAGGUGGUAAUUGAGCGAGAGUGGCGUGGUUGAUGGCUAAAGAGCGUUGCCAUCGCUUUUUUUUGGCAUAGCAUUUUUUCCUCCAUUUCCUUCUGAGAUUACCAUGGAGAUGGUUUGGAAAUGAAGGAGAAAACUCUUCCAUGUUUUGUGGAGAUAGGCAAGAUAUUGUGAGGAGGCGUUAUGGAAAUAGAUGAACGGAAGAAAAGAAAAAAAAGAAAAUGCGACAGGAUGAAGGCGAAACUGAUCUGAGGUGCGACGCAGAUUCAGAAGUGCGCAAAUUCUGAAAGGUCUGAUACGUAAAAAGAUGAAUAUUAUAAAGCACGUAUCUAGAGAGGAUGUCCAAAGGCUGUUUUUUAGAGAGCGGAAAUUCUGGGAAAGAGCUCAAACAAAAAGAGAUGAAUGAUCAGGAGGGACUCACGAGAAGAAAUGUAUGCUUAUUUAUACCGCAUGAAUUGAAUUUAAUUUAAAUAACUUAGAAGGUCUUAAAGUUUAGUUUUUGGGGAGGAAACAG
Long non-coding RNA from Schistocerca gregaria, 1440 nucleotides. RefSeq lists it as uncharacterized. Lineage: Eukaryota; Metazoa; Arthropoda; Insecta; Orthoptera; Acrididae. The transcript has 3 exons. The record is from RefSeq and is a predicted model, not a curated record.